This is a long non-coding RNA of Cimex lectularius (bed bug), 470 nucleotides long. RefSeq lists it as uncharacterized. The transcript is spliced from 3 exons. The record is from RefSeq and is a predicted model, not a curated record. Lineage: Eukaryota; Metazoa; Arthropoda; Insecta; Hemiptera; Cimicidae.
UUAUAAAAAUAGUUAUUUAAAUAAUUUGAAACGUUUUAAAAAUGGGUUUUUGCAGGAUUGAGAAACAAUUGCUAAAAGUUUGAAGGAAUUUGAUCAUCUGCGUUUAAAGAAGGCAUGUGAAGGGUCAUGAACAGUCUUCUUCCGACUGGGCGAACCGUCCUCCAUUCCUUUUCUCGUCUCGCUAGUUGAUAGAUCGGAUCAAGCCCAAUCUCGUAAAUCUCUAAGUUUUUCUUCGGUUAACUCAAACCGAAAUGAGAGCCAAGUGGAGGAAGAAGAGAAUGCGCAGGUUGAAGAGGAAAAGGAGGAAGAUGAGGGCGAGGUCCAAGUAGACGUCUUUAAAGUUGGAAUGAUUUUGCAACACUUUUAUUUUCAAGUUAUUUGAUCAGCAGCUCCUCAACAGACAUGAAGCAUACAUUUUUUGUAAAUUUCUAAUUUACUGACGAUUAAAAAUUGUUCCAUACUUCAAAAUA